This 489-nucleotide small RNA is filed under the name Pongo abelii (Sumatran orangutan). RNAcentral's name for it is "processed transcript". Lineage: Eukaryota; Metazoa; Chordata; Mammalia; Primates; Hominidae. The record is from RNAcentral.
GACAUUUUCCAACUCUCAACACACAGGCUGCUUUUUAUCAUUCCUACGGGGCAGGAGGGGGCAGGGAGAGAAGGCUAAGACACCGGGUCCAGUACCCAGAGGUUCUAGGGAGAGAUCUCUGAGAUUGCCUACUUGUCACUGGAAUCAAUUCCGUGGGGAAUCGGGGCUCCGCCGCCGCGAAGGACAGCCUUUCCGCGCGGGACUCCGGGGCGCCACGGGGGCCAUGUAAGCAGCUAUCUUCCAGAGGGCCACACUGGGCAUGGACACCCUUUUCCCUGCCUGGAGGAGCACAGGUGAUAGUGUAAUUUUCCAGUCACGAAACUGCUAAGGCCAUCUCAGGGGCGUGUGCGCCAGGAUAGGAGGGCGGCGUCCGAGGACCACAUAGCCAUGCCUUUUGGUCUGAAGCUCCGCCGGACACGGCGCUACAACGUCCUGAGCAAGAACUGCUUUGUUACACGGAUUCGCCUGCUGGACAGCAAUGUUAUCGAG